Long non-coding RNA from Branchiostoma floridae (Florida lancelet), 1932 nucleotides. RefSeq lists it as uncharacterized. The transcript has 3 exons. Lineage: Eukaryota; Metazoa; Chordata; Leptocardii; Amphioxiformes; Branchiostomatidae. The record is from RefSeq and is a predicted model, not a curated record.
UGUCCACAGUGUACUGCACUGCCACUUGGGGAGGGGGGUGUUACAGCUGGAGAUCCAGGCGCCAUCGGCAUCCACCAGCAACUGAGCAGCUUUCUGCCUGUGGCCCUCCUCCACUUGCAGGCGGAUGCCCUGGAUGCAACAAACCAUCUGUCCGGGUUGUCUCAGUGUCGGGACAUCUCCUUCUCGUCACUCGGAGAACGGGUACAUCAUUAUGAUCAAGUACAUAGAACAGAUAACUAUGGUAGCCAGAAGACAGAGCAACUAUAGCAGGAAAACCAAUUCAACAAUUUAAGGUAUAAGGCAAUCAUUAAGGAUCUGCUACAGUUAAAAAGAUCGUCUGUGAUGAUGGAACGCCAGUCACCGAUCCCCGUAUCCCAUCACAUAUUCAGCAAGACCAUGACUUCUCUGAUGCGAUUCACCACAUCCGGAAUGCAGUUUGCUUCGGAGGCAAGAAUGCCAGCAGACAACUGCUCUGAUCAGCUCAAUGAAGCGGGCACUCCCGGGAAAAAAACAUUUAGAUAGGGUGAGAGCCAUCUGAGAUGAUGUCUUUUCACGAGAAGAGAUGGUGCACAACAGCACCAAAGGGAAGGGUCCUGGACUAGGGCUGCUAGAUGAGAACAAGUUGGAGGCUAUCAUAGAAUUCAUGGCGAUCAUCGAGGAGAGGCCUCCAGAGCGCGGACGACACUAAGUUCCGGAGGGAAGUAGAGGGUGCCAUAAAUACCAAGGCCAAGAGCGUGCGUGGCCACUGCAAGGUAGGUCAAAGAAGGGCUAAGACGCUAAGUCUUUUUUUUAUUUUUUUUAUUCACACGUAAAAAUAGGUAACUAAUACGCUAAGUCUUUUUUUAUUCGCACGUAAAAAUUUAUUAAGGAUUUUGUAUUGGACGAAUCUAGUUACAGGGCCAAUAGUACUAAAAACUAUAGAAGUAUAUACUGGAAUAGAGUUACCAAGGAGGUACAGCCAUGCCAUUUGUACACCAAAUGGACUAACAUCAAAACCACCUGAAAGUCGACUAGAGCUAGAGAUUUACGUCCACUAGAGCUCAGGCGAAAUAGCAAAAGGAUUGCCCUUUUCUUUUGCAAACCUGCACCUGCAAUAAGCCCUGGGGCAAGAAUUUGCAAUUAACUUAUUAUUGUCUACCUUUAUUUUAUCAGUAGGCAGCAAUCAACAGGUCCCUGUAACUAAUGGUCCAAUCUAAUGUGUCAUGGGCAAUGAUUGAGGUGAAGGUGAUUUGAUGUGACUUACUUUCACUCUGUUUAGGUAUGGAGAAAGCUACAGGAAAAAGAGGGUUCUCCAGAUGCCAGAAAGUGAAGACAAAGCAUGCUGAGACAACUCUUGAUGGUGGGCCCAGGAAGCGCCGUGUAAGACACGUCACACCAUCUACAUCUACCCAGACAACUUCACAACCACAAGCUAGUACUUUAACCACUCCAGAGUUCCCCAUUCAGUUGCAAGAUAUCCCUGAACCUGUAACAUUACCACCACGAUCACAGAUCACUUAUACAAAACAGAGGAGAAAAGAACUAGAAUCAUGGAAUAAGGUUAGAGAUUAACACUUUGUAACGAACAUAGAGCUGUCGGCCCCUCUAUGCCAUACCUGCUCCAUCUGCGGCAAAGGAGAGUUGGUGACAUUCUUCCGGUGCAGGGAAUGUGGGCCGACAGCAGUAUUCUGUACCACAUGUCUGGAAAAACAACACCGCAACUCAUUCCACAUUCCAGAAAUAUGGGAGGUUGGUUGUCAUUUAAAUACUUAAUUGGACGAAUAGGAAAAGCAAGUUUCAGUUGCCACCAGAUAACACUUUUCUGCGAAGAAAAAUAAAUGGAUGGACAUCACAACCGUUCUAUAGCCCCAUGUAGUUGUAAUGUGCCAAACCCGAACGGUGAACUGCGCAUCAUGCUGGUGAAGCUAACAACUGAACUAAAUUACUUUGUUG